Small nuclear RNA from Pan paniscus (pygmy chimpanzee), 105 nucleotides. NCBI's taxonomy places the organism in Eukaryota, Metazoa, Chordata, Mammalia, Primates, Hominidae. The record is from Ensembl.
GCGCUUACUUCUGCAGCACAUAUACUAAAAUUGGAGCAAUACAGACGAUUAGCAUGGUCUCUGUGCAAGGACGAUGUGGAGAUUUGUGAAGUGUUUGAUAUUUAA